AGUUAAGUGACUAAGCGUACACGGUGGAUGCCUUGGCAAUCAGAGGCGAAGAAGGACGUGCUAAUCUGCGAAAAGCGUGGGGGAGCUGAUAAGGAGCGCUAAUCCCACGAUGUCCGAAUGGGGAAACCCGAUAGAUGAAGAAUCUAUCAUUGUUGUCUGAAUUCAUAGGGCAACAAGGCAAACCGGGAGAACUGAAACAUCUAAGUACCCCGAGGAAAAGAAAUCAACCGAGAUUCUGCGAGUAGCGGCGAGCGAAAGCGGAGGAGCCAGCGAGUGAUAGCAUAAGUUUUAGGAGAAUUGUCUGGGAAGGCAAGCGAGAGAGGGUGACAGCCCCGUAUCCGAAAAGACGGAUGUGGUACUAAGCACGCGAGAAGUAGGGCGGGACACGAGGAAUCCUGUUUGAAGAAGGGGGGACCAUCCUCCAAGGCUAAAUACUCCUGAUUGACCGAUAGUGGACCAGUACCGUGAGGGAAAGGCGAAAAGAACCCCGGGAGGGGAGUGAAAGAGAACCUGAAACCGUGUACGUACAAGCAGUGGGAGCCCGAAAGGGUGACUGCGUACCUUUUGUAUAAUGGGUCAGCGACUUAUAUUUUGUAGCGAGGUUAACCGGAUAGGGGAGCCGAA
RNAcentral lists this ribosomal RNA (624 nucleotides) under Gallibacterium anatis. Its description in RNAcentral is "partial 23S ribosomal RNA". It matches the Rfam family "Bacterial large subunit ribosomal RNA", at positions 1 to 670 of the family's 2925-position model. Lineage: Bacteria; Pseudomonadati; Pseudomonadota; Gammaproteobacteria; Pasteurellales; Pasteurellaceae. The record is from RNAcentral.